UACGAAGGGGGCUAGCGUUGUUCGGAUUUACUGGGCGUAAAGCGCGUGUAGGCGGGCCGUUAAGUUGGGGGUGAAAGCCCGAGGCUCAACCUCGGAACUGCCCUCAAAACUGGCGGCCUGGAGCAGAUGAGAGGCGAGUGGAAUUCCGAGUGUAGAGGUGAAAUUCAUAGAUAUUCGGAGGAACACCAGUGGCGAAGGCGACUCGCUGGCAUCUUGCUGACGCUGAGACGCGAAAGCGUGGGGAGCAAACAGG
Molecule: ribosomal RNA, 253 nt
Filed under: uncultured bacterium
Lineage: Bacteria
Description: partial 16S ribosomal RNA
Rfam family: Bacterial small subunit ribosomal RNA
Source: RNAcentral